CGGCGGACGGGUGAGUAACACGUGGAUAACCUACCUAUAAGACUGGGAUAACUUCGGGAAACCGGAGCUAAUACCGGAUAACAUAUUGAACCGCAUGGUUCAAUAGUGAAAGACGGUUUUGCUGUCACUUAUAGAUGGAUCCGCGCCGCAUUAGCUAGUUGGUAAGGUAACGGCUUACCAAGGCAACGAUGCGUAGCCGACCUGAGAGGGUGAUCGGCCACACUGGAACUGAGACACGGUCCAG
This 244-nucleotide ribosomal RNA is filed under the name uncultured Staphylococcus sp. RNAcentral describes it as "partial 16S ribosomal RNA". It matches the Rfam family "Bacterial small subunit ribosomal RNA", at positions 96 to 334 of the family's 1533-position model. Lineage: Bacteria; Bacillati; Bacillota; Bacilli; Caryophanales; Staphylococcaceae. The record is from RNAcentral.